Non-coding RNA from Cinara cedri, 428 nucleotides. The record is from the annotation of a GenBank genome assembly. Lineage: Eukaryota; Metazoa; Arthropoda; Insecta; Hemiptera; Aphididae.
CAAAUAAUAUAAUAUUCUUAUGGUUAAUAGUUAAAAAUCUUCGGUCGUGUGUACCUAUACCCGGUGUAUAGGUAUUAAGUACCUGUAAGUAUAUCGUCAAGGCUGGGCGUUACGACAGUUAAAAAGUUUAAAGUUAAAUUAUUAUUUUCGUUUUUAGUGGUAAAAAGCCGUCGUGGUAUAACAAAAACGGGUUGACGAAACGAAACACACGAAAAUGUCUUUAAAAUCGUUUUUUAGUGCACAUAAAACACUCUUUAUAAAAUGUGCAGAUGACAACGUUUCAAAGGCGAUCCCGUCGGCAUUUUUCAAUACUCUAAAUAUUUAACUCAUUAUCGAAGGUACAAAAAAUAGUAUUUUACAUAAUUAAUAUAUAUAUAUAUAUUUUGUAAUAAUUAAUAUGCCGAAAAAAUGCCGAUGAGGUUUUCUUC